Molecule: non-coding RNA, 31 nt
Filed under: Rattus norvegicus (Norway rat)
Lineage: Eukaryota; Metazoa; Chordata; Mammalia; Rodentia; Muridae
Source: RNAcentral
UGGCCCUUUUGGCCCUGCCUCAGUGGGGGUU